Molecule: long non-coding RNA, 1400 nt
Organism: Callithrix jacchus (white-tufted-ear marmoset)
Lineage: Eukaryota; Metazoa; Chordata; Mammalia; Primates; Cebidae
Source: RefSeq, a predicted model, not a curated record
ACAGCUGCAGAGAGGUGGGCUCAAAUCCCAGCUCUGCUGUAUGAUCUUGAGUCACUACCUUCACUUAUUAGUAUCUAUUAAUAAUAUUUAUUGGCUGUGUGUUUGCCAAGUACCAUGGAUGGAUUACCUCAUUUAACUUUCACCACAAGCUUAUGAGCUCUCCAAGCAGCAAGUCUUGCCCGUGAGAACCAUCUGUGGCAUCCAAGGAAAGAAUGACACAACAGUUUCCUGUUUUGAGUGCAUCCGUGGAUCCUGGAGAGGAAAAAAUCCCAGCACCCAGCAAAUGAGUCAGUCACCUGGGUCCCUGCCCUCUGUUAGUGGCUGUGGGGAAGCCUAGUAGAUGUGACAAACCUCUUUGUCUGGGUAGGCUGCUGCUGCUCAGAGUCUUUUGGGUACAAGAACUGUGGGAAAUCUCAGAUCCCAAAAGCUUCAGACUCUGAGAUUCAAGGUAAAAGAAUAAGAGAUUACUUCCACUAAAAGCCCCCAUGGAGUCUUUGAAUCCAGCUAAGGAUUCUUAACAUGUUAAAGUCUCAGAAUUGAAAGAUUUUGGAAUAAAUGUAUUAAAGAUUCUGAGCUACGAGGCAUCUCAGAGGUCCGAAAUUCCUGUCUGCAGCCCCAGGCAGAAGCCCUCUCUUCGGUAUCCCAAAAUGGCCAGCACCCAAGCACCUCUAAGAAGAGCGAGCUUACCUCCUUCAGAGGCAGCCCCUCAUUCUUUUUCAGGACAGGUCUGAUUAUUAACAAAACCUGGCAGCCUUGGCAUGGUGUCCAUCUCUUUGAGGUGGCUGUCGUGGUUCUCAUGUGCUUCCUCCUGCCUCACCUAUAUAUUGCUUUUAAAGAUAAAUCCUAGGCCGGACAUGGUGGUUCAUGCCUGUAAUCCCACCACUUUGGGAGGCCGAGGAGGGUGGAUCACCUGAGGUCAGGAGUUUAAGACCAGCCUGGCCAAAAUGGUGAAAUGCUAUCUCUAAUAAAAAUAUAAAAACUAGUCAGGUGUGGUGGUAUGUGCCUGUAAUCCCAGCUACUCACGAGGCUGCGGCAACAGAAUCACUUGAACCUGGGAGGUGGUAAUUGCAGUGAGCUGAGAUCAUGCCACUACACUCCAACCUGGGUGACAGAGAGAGACUCCAUCUCAAAAAAAAAGACCAGGGACAGUGGCCAUGCCUGUAAUCCCAGUACUUUGGGAGGCCAAGGCAGGUGGAUCACCUAAGGUCAGGAGUUCAAGACCAGCCUGACCAACAUGGAGAAACCCCAUCUCUACUAAAAAUACAAAAAAUUUUCCAGAUGUGAUGACGCAUGCCUGUAGUCCCAGCUACUUGGAAGGCUGAGGCAGGAGAAUGACUUGAACCCGGGAGGUGGAGGUUGCUGCGAGCUGAGAUCAUGCCAUUGCACUCCAGCCUGGGCGA